UACGUAGGGUGCGAGCGUUGUCCGGAAUUAUUGGGCGUAAAGAGCUCGUAGGCGGUUCGUCGCGUCGGCUGUGAAAACCCGGAGCUCAACUCCGGGCCUGCAGUCGAUACGGGCGGACUUGAGUGUUGCAGGGGAGACUGGAAUUCCUGGUGUAGCGGUGAAAUGCGCAGAUAUCAGGAGGAAUACCCGUGGCGAAAGCGGCUCUCUGGGACGGUACUGACGCUGAGACGCGAAAGCGUGGGGAGCAAACAGG
RNAcentral lists this ribosomal RNA (253 nucleotides) under uncultured bacterium. RNAcentral's name for it is "partial 16S ribosomal RNA". It matches the Rfam family "Bacterial small subunit ribosomal RNA", at positions 524 to 776 of the family's 1533-position model. The record is from RNAcentral.